CUCUCAGUGGAUGGGCAGGCACCUCCCUCGAGCCCUGAGAAAACCCCUCCACCACGGCUCCUCUGGCCUCUGCAAAUGUCAGUUGCUCCCUUGUCUGAUGGCCCCAAAGGGCAGGACCGGCCCCCAUCACAGUUGCGUUUGGGUCAGAAGGAGAGAUGGGUGCACACAGCUGACACUACAGUGGCUGUCUUAUUUCUGCCGCCCGAGGCCCAGCACAGUGUCUGGCUUUCUGCACAUCCCCUUGGUGUUUCCUGGUGAAAUAGAUCUCUUAAACAAGAAGAUCAUCAUUACAUCUAUUCAGUUACCCCAUUCCUGAAUGCCUGAAAAAUGGAACAACUUCAUUCAGAAACAAACAAAUAAAACGAAAGCAACAGUCAUUUGCCUUGAGCCAGAUGCUCCCCGCCUGUGACCACUAACCUCUGUCAGCUCUGCACAGUCAAUAUCACCUCCUAUCAAGAGGCCGAGUGACUCGCCGGGAGCGCAGCAGUGGCCUGUGUGUGCCCGCUCAACCCCCUCUCUACAUCCCACGUCCCUUCUCUCCUCUGUGGCACAUUCACUGCCUUUUCCAAAAAGCAGAAUCUACCCUGGAUGGAUGACCUUUUAUAAAUUAAAAAUUCUCAAAACUGGAAAUGCACAAACCAUGGAGCAAUCUAUUCAUAGCUGAGGCAGCGAUCCAUUCAUGCCUCUUCCUCCGUCUGUGGCACCCACAGCAAUGUCCUUGCUUGCUUGCCCCACUACAGGCCUUACAGCACCAUUUGCACAAUUUAAAGGAAGACGAUAAAGAACCCGGAAGACGCAGGGCCUCACCUUGGCAAUGCUUCAGUGGUGUUUCACCAUAGCUCUUCAGAUCCUGACACCCUUACAGUGGAGCAGGCUCCUAGCGACA
This 886-nucleotide long non-coding RNA is filed under the name Homo sapiens (human). RNAcentral's name for it is "HSALNT0133086". The record is from RNAcentral. Lineage: Eukaryota; Metazoa; Chordata; Mammalia; Primates; Hominidae.